Molecule: long non-coding RNA, 444 nt
Filed under: Medicago truncatula (barrel medic)
Lineage: Eukaryota; Viridiplantae; Streptophyta; Magnoliopsida; Fabales; Fabaceae
Description: lncRNA gene32906
Source: RNAcentral
AUGUCAAAUUUUAAUUGUUACAAGCCCUAUAGUGAAGUGAGUUACCCACUAUUAUGUAAAUUGGAUAUAUUGGGAUUUGUAUAAAGCACUCUUAUAAAUAAAAUCAAAACAUGUUACUUAGCUAUUAAAACACGUAGAAGAAAAAGAAGAGAAACAAAAGAAAAAUAUGCUUUGGUCAGUGACGAGAAAAUCAGCCGUUAGUUUCAAUUCAUUCUAGAUUUUAACAGAUUUAGAGACUAAGACGAAGACGGCUAAUGACAUCGAACGGUGAGGAGCUCGACAUUUUAGAAGUGCCACUUCAUUAUAAUAGAUUGAUAGUUUGAGAAUUAGUGGACAAAAUGCCUACAUAGUACUCCGAUUUUGGUAGUAGUUACUAAAUGCCCAUCUUUGAGUAUUUUAAUCGGUUAUGAACUUUUUGGAUGUAUAAUAAUUAUUUCAGAAUUU